GGGGUCGGCUGCAUGUCGCCUUCACUCAGUCGCGCCUGUCACGCCGGAGGUCGCGGGUUCGAGUCCCGUCGACCCCGCCA
Molecule: transfer RNA, 80 nt
Filed under: Zetaproteobacteria bacterium
Lineage: Bacteria; Pseudomonadati; Pseudomonadota; Candidatius Mariprofundia
Description: tRNA-Asp
Source: RNAcentral